AGUGAACGCUGGCGGUAGGCCUAAUACAUGCAAGUCGAACGGCAGCACAGUAAGAGCUUGCUCUUACGGGUGGCGAGUGGCGGACGGGUGAGGAAUACAUCGGAAUCUACUUUUUCGUGGGGGAUAACGUAAGGGAACUUCCGCUAAUACCUCAUACGACCUACGGGUUAAAGCAGGGGAUAUUCGGACCUUGCGCGAUUGAAUGAGCCGAUGUCGGAUUAGCUAGUUGGCGGGGUAAAGGCCCACCAAGGUGACGAUCCGUAGCUGACCUGAGAGGAUGAUCAGCCACACUGGAACUGAGACACGGUCCAGACUCCUACGGGAGGCAGCAGUGGGGAAUAUUGGGCAAUGGGCGCAAGCCUGAUCCAGCCAUACCGCGUGGGUGAAGAAGGCCUUCGGGUUGUAAAGCCCUUUUGUUGGGAAAGAAAAGCAGUGGAUUAAUACCCCGCUGUUCUGACGGUACCCAAACAAUAAGCACCGGCUAACUUCGUG
Molecule: ribosomal RNA, 492 nt
Filed under: uncultured bacterium
Lineage: Bacteria
Description: partial 16S ribosomal RNA
Rfam family: Bacterial small subunit ribosomal RNA
Source: RNAcentral